GACGAACGCUGGCGGCGUGCUUAACACAUGCAAGUCGAACGGUGAACUCCGCUUGCGGGGGGAUCAGUGGCGAACGGGUGAGUAACACGUGGGCAACCUGCCCUCAGCUCUGAGAUAACUCCAAGAAAUUGGGGCUAAUACCGGAUAUGACCGCUGACCGCAUGGUCUGGUGGUGGAAAGAUUUAUCGGCUGGGGAUGGGCCCGCGGCCUAUCAGCUUGUUGGUUGGGUAGUGGCCUACCAAGGCGACGACGGGUAGCCGGCCUGAGAGGGUGACCGGCCACACGGGGACUGAGAGACGGCGCAGACGCGUACGGGAGGCAGCAGGGGAGAAUAUGGCGGAAUGAGCGAAAGCGUGACGCAGCGACGCCGGGUGGGGGAUGACGGCCUUCGGGUUGAAAACCUCUUUCAGCAGGGACGAAGCGAAAGUGACGGUACCUGCAGAAGAAGCACCGGCCAACUACGUG
This 465-nucleotide ribosomal RNA is filed under the name uncultured bacterium. RNAcentral's name for it is "partial 16S ribosomal RNA". It matches the Rfam family "Bacterial small subunit ribosomal RNA", at positions 28 to 507 of the family's 1533-position model. The record is from RNAcentral.